UAAUGGAGGAAGUAGAGGAGACCAAUGGGAUUGGACGACGUCGUUUUUGCUCUUUGGAUUGUGGGGUGGACUCAUGUACUAUGUUUUCUUCCUUGCACCUAACCAAACCCCGGUAUCACAUCCUAUUUUUCUGCUAAAAAUAAUUCUGACUCAUGUACUAUGUUUUCUUCCUUGCACCUAACCAGACCCCGGUAUCACAUCUUAUUUUUCUGCUAAAAAUAAUUCUCUUUUCUUGUUCUUCCAGCCUAAAGUCAUGUUCUCUGCAUAUUUGUGCAUAAACAAUUAUGCGGUCUAUGUGAUCAUAUUUAUUU
Molecule: long non-coding RNA, 311 nt
Filed under: Nicotiana benthamiana
Lineage: Eukaryota; Viridiplantae; Streptophyta; Magnoliopsida; Solanales; Solanaceae
Description: long non-coding RNA (NBEN_LNC017520)
Source: RNAcentral